GCAUAUCAAUAAGCGGAGGAAAAGAAAAUAACAAUGAUUUCCCUAGUAACGGCGAGUGAAGAGGAAAGAGCUCAAAGUUGGAACCUGUUUGGCUUAGCUAAACCGGAUUGUAAACUGUAGAAACAUUUUCCAGAUACACUAGACAAAAAAGUCCUUUGGAACAGGGCAUCAUAGAGGGUGAGAAUCCCGUCUUUGGUCUAAGUAGUUGUCUAUUGUGAUAUGUUUUCAAAGAGUCAGGUUGUUUGGGAAUGCAGCCUAAAUUGGGUGGUAAAUCUCACCUAAAGCUAAAUAUUUGCGAGAGACCGAUAGCGAACAAGUACCGUGAGGGAAAGAUGAAAAGAACUUUGAAAAGAGAGUUAAACAGUAUGUGAAAUUGUUAAAAGGGAACCGUUUGGAGCCAGAUUGGCUUGAUUGUAAUCAACCUAGAAUUCGUUUUGGGUGCACUUGCAGUCUAUGCCUGCCAACGACAGUUUGAUUUGGAGGAAAAAAUUAAUAGGAAUGUGGCCUUUCGAGGUGUUAUAGCCUAUUAUCAUACUCUGGAUUGGACUGAGGAACGCAGUGAAUGCCUUUAGGCAAGAUUGCUGGGCGCUUUCGCUAAUAAAUGUUAGAAUUUCUGCUUCGGGUGGUGCUAAUGUUUAAAGGAGGAACUCGUUUAGUAUAUUUUUUAUUCGCUUAGGUUGUUGGCUUAAUGACUCUAAAUGACCCGUCUUGAAACACGGACC
This 722-nucleotide ribosomal RNA is filed under the name Mucor racemosus. RNAcentral describes it as "LSU rRNA". It matches the Rfam family "Eukaryotic large subunit ribosomal RNA", at positions 38 to 667 of the family's 3401-position model. The record is from RNAcentral. RNAcentral also lists the same sequence under 1 other name. Lineage: Eukaryota; Fungi; Mucoromycota; Mucoromycetes; Mucorales; Mucoraceae.